CCUACGGGAGGCAGCAGUAGGGAAUAUUGCACAAUGGGGGAAACCCUGAAGCAGCAACGCCGCGUGGAGGAAGAAGGUUUUCGGCUUGUAAACUCCUUUUGUUAGAGAAGAUAAUGACGGUAUCUAACGAAUAAGCACCGGCUAACUCCGUGCCAGCAGCCGCGGUAAUACGGAGGGUGCAAGCGUUACUCGGAAUCACUGGGCGUAAAGAGCGCGUAGGCGGGAUAGCAAGUCAGAUGUGAAAUCCUAGGGCUUAACCAUAGAACUGCAUUGGAAACUGUUAUUCUAGAGUAUGGGAGAGGUAGGUGGAAAUCUUGGUGGAGGGGUAGUAGCCGUAGAGAUCAAGAGGGAUACUCAUUGCGAAGGCGACCUGCUAGAACAGAAAUGACGCUGAUGCGCGGAAGCGUGGGGAGCAAACAGGAAUAGGUACCCGGGUAGUC
This 440-nucleotide ribosomal RNA is filed under the name uncultured bacterium. Its description in RNAcentral is "partial 16S ribosomal RNA". It matches the Rfam family "Bacterial small subunit ribosomal RNA", at positions 338 to 795 of the family's 1533-position model. The record is from RNAcentral.